AUUUUUUCACACUUACACAAAUGCAGAAAUUCAGAUGCCCUGUCCAUCUUCUAAGCAGACUGGAGAGCUGAACUGGGCCAUUCUGUCCUUAAAAAUGGGAACCGUGAUUACUAUUUUCAAAGUUAAAAUUCAGUGCAAGAACAGGAAGAUUUAAUGAACAAUAAUAAUACAGUUUACAAAGAAAUUCUGGCUAAUCUAGUGAUUUUAGUUUUGUGGUAGUUGUAUUUGAUAUAUUUCUCAAAAGGUUAAUUGGCUGUAGUCCUGUGAAUGCACCAAAACAUCAUUUGUUAGGAAAAAAAAAAAGUCUUUUCCUGUAAGAUACUUCUGCUUAGAAAUAGGAAAUCUUCAGAACCAAAUGGCAAAUAAAAAUAUAUCAGCACUUUUUUUCCCAGCACCUCAUGAUUCUUGAAGAAAUGCCUUGAUUUUAGGCGCUUGACUUAUGAAUUUUGAAGGCCUGGCAUGAGCGGCAUAGUUAAAUACUGUUCCCCCUCCUCCACCAGAGAAGUGUAAGUCCAAGACCUUGGAAUGAAAAAGCAAAACCCAGAAACUUCUAUAAAUUUUGGCAAAAUACAUCAAGUAAGCAUUUUCAGUUGUAUAUAUUUCCUUCUUCCUGCCUUCUUUCUUUUCUCAUGAAUAUGAGAUGUGAGGAAAAUGACAUAUCUGAGGUUUCACGCUCUACCUCUCUCCCAAUAAACACACAAUUGUAACAAAAAAAAAAAAACAUCUGUCAUGCUUCCUUACCAAGAGUAUCACAUAAAUAUAAAAAAGAUUGAUACGCUGCAUCAUAUUUCACUUUUGUCUCCCCCAGAUAGGAAUAUGGAGGCAUCAGGAUGCAUAGCAAUGUUUAAGUUUGCUUUGUAACCUGCAGUUUAUUUGCUUAAAUUCAAUUAUAGCCUCAUCUGUAAAACAGAGUGUAGCUCUUGAGAGGGUAGAGAUCAAAAUGUAGCUCACUGAAUGUGUCAGAAGAGCCCAUAUGGCCUUAGGUUGCUUUUAGGACAGAGUCCCUGCCUUCCAAACCCAAAUGAAGGACUCAGUGCUGCCUCUACUUCUUCUGAAGCACACGGCAGCAGUCCCCAUGCCUUCAGUGGGAUGAAAGAAGUCUCCUCCACAUUACUUUACUUGCUGUUUAUGAUCCACAGAGGAUCGUGGAGAAAUGAAAGCCAGGUAACCCACAAUACCCCAGAAACCUUGUCUUUACACAAGGCUUUUUGUCCUCACAUUUUCAACUUUAAUCCCAGUCAUGAGUUUACAAGUGUUGUAGUUGAUGAAUUAGGAACUGGAACAGCUGGAUGGCAAGUUUGCAAGCCAUACAUUAUGACAACUUGGGGCUGAGGAGAUUUGGGCUCAGAUGGGUGAUAAACAGUGGAUUUCUUUAUCCUGCUCGGUUUACUCAAAUAAUGUCUCUCAAGGACGUAUAAUAAUUAGGAACAAGGAAUAAAAAUCGGAUAGCCCCUGGCAGCUAGACUAAGGAACAGAUACAGACAGCGUGUAUGUAGUGAUGCAAGCUCUGCACUAAGCACAGUGGAAAACAGGAUGCCCAGGAGGGAUUACUGCACAACCUCCAAUCUGGGCUGCAGGUGCCACCAGGACUGCAAGCCAAUGGCCGUGUCUUCUCUGGUGUCAAGGCGUCAGGCCUGGCUGCAGCUCAGGGCAGCUGUAAUGAGCAAAGCACAAGACCUCCAAGAGAGCAACAAGCUAACCAGUUCUGAAUGCUCCGCAGCUCACCGGGAGGCAGGAGCACAUUUUAACAUUUUUGCUCGAGAUUCUAUUUUUCCCACAUAUGAGGGCGUUUGCCCAAAGUUAAUUUUUGGACAGCAAAACUUAUGUUCUUCAUUUAUGCAGAAGUUUACAGAAUCUCCCCAGCACGUUUAGGCCAGAUCUGUCUCAGCAGAUUUGAGGCCGUUCUGCUGUUCACAGAUACACUGCUCCUAUUUAUAGAUUUACUGCAACCAUAAAAAUAUUGUUACGGCACAAAGGACACGUUAUUUCAAAAGCAGGCACACCCCAAGGAAAGUCCCUACCGGAUUGUGAACAAUGUUGGGUCUGGAAGACUCUCUGCACUUAUUCUUCAGCUCCUCCAGCCUGCAUUGCAUUCUAGAUGGCACUAAGUUUAGCCUUAAUGCAAAAAGUUUUCUAUAGUUUUACCUAAGCAGCAAAUGAAGCAGCUUCCUGACUUGAGACUUCUUGUUUCUCUUUCAGGCUGCCUUUUUCAGCAGCACGAAGAGGGGAGGAGCACAGGCCAACGCCACUCUCCUUUGUUUCUCCCUUGUGAUGUGCGUUACUGUGGAUUAAACUCACAUUUUAGGAUCCCAAACCAGGGACAAUUCAGCUACCUCUCACUGUAGAUGUGUGCCUUAGAACUGAAAGAAGCAGGAGGCUUGCUUUGUGUACUUAUCUCCUGAAACCUAUGGACACAGCAGUGUCUGUUUUCAAUGGCAGUGGAAAUUCCAGUAUCAGAAGCUUAACUACAAAUCCCAUACUACAUCGUUCGAAUGCUGCCUGUUUUCAGUACAACCUAAUGAUGGCCCAGGAGUGAUAAAGCACAGGUUCUCUGUAGACAAAAACAAAAAGAAGCAAAAAGAAUGGGCCCACGGUAACCUUCUGCCUUUGCCUCCUGCCCUUUGCCAAAGGCAACUGGAGCAAGGGUGGUCUUUGGGCUGCUGUCCCAGAUGGAAUGGGGGAAAGAGAGGCGCUGCCUGUCCUUGUCAGGGAUGGAAAAGGCCCCCACUCCUAUUCUUAUGAACAUCUGUCAUAUU
This 2756-nucleotide long non-coding RNA is filed under the name Gallus gallus (chicken). Its description in RNAcentral is "lncRNA (ENSGALG00010015036.1)". The record is from RNAcentral. Lineage: Eukaryota; Metazoa; Chordata; Aves; Galliformes; Phasianidae.